Phrynosoma platyrhinos (Desert horned lizard) is the source of this 71-nucleotide non-coding RNA. NCBI's taxonomy places the organism in Eukaryota, Metazoa, Chordata, Lepidosauria, Squamata, Phrynosomatidae. The record is from the annotation of a GenBank genome assembly.
GCCAGUGUGGUAUAAUGGUUUGAAUGUUGGACUACAGUUCUGGAGAUCUGGGUUCGAAUCUCAACUUGUCC